This 536-nucleotide ribosomal RNA is filed under the name uncultured Acidobacteriota bacterium. RNAcentral describes it as "bacterial SSU rRNA". It matches the Rfam family "Bacterial small subunit ribosomal RNA", at positions 13 to 529 of the family's 1533-position model. The record is from RNAcentral. Lineage: Bacteria; Pseudomonadati; Acidobacteriota.
UUGAUCCUGGCUCAGAAUCAACGCUGGCGGCGUGCCUAACACAUGCAAGUCGAACGCGAAGACCCCGCAAGGGGUUGGUAGCGUGGCAAACGGGUGAGUUACGCGUGGGCGAUCUACCUUCGAGUGGGGGAUAACCUUCCGAAAGGAGGUCUAAUACCGCAUGACAUCCCGUGUUUAGAUACAUGGACAUCAAAGCUGGUGUCGCAAGACCUGGCGCUUGAAGAGGAGCCCGCGUCCGAUUAGCUAGUUUGUGAGGUAACGGCUCACCAAGGCUCCGAUCGGUAUCCGGCCUGAGAGGGUGGACGGACACACUGGAACUGAGACACGGUCCAGACUCCUACGGGAGGCAUCAGUGGGGAAUUGUUCGCAAUGGGCGCAAGCCUGACGACGCAACGCCGCUUGGAGGAUGAAGACCUUCGGGUCGUAAACUCCUUUCGACCGAGAUGAAAUGCCUCCGACCUAAUACGACGGAGGCCUGACAGUAUCGAGGGAAGAAGCCUCGGCUAACUCUGUGCCAGCAGCCGCGGUAAUAAGGU